AUGGGAUGUGGAACCAGGGCCCAAACCCAUCCAGUGUCCUGCUGCUCUCCAAGCUGUGCUGGGGCUCAGGGAGCUGCUCUGAGGUGCUCCAUGCUGGGGCUGGGGGCUGUGCUGGGGAGGGGGUCCAUGGUGGUCCAUGCUAGGGAUGAUCCGUGGUCCAUGGUGGUCCAUGCUGGGAAUUCUGGAAUGUGCUGGGGCAGUGGGUCCAUGGUGGUCCAUGCUAGGGAUGAUCCGUGGUCCAUGGUGGUCCAUGCUGGGAAUUCUGGAAUGUGCUGGGGCAGUGGGUCCAUGGUGGUCCAUGCUAGGGAUGAUCCGUGGUCCAUGGUGGUCCAUGCUGGGAAUUCUGGAAUGUGCUGGGGCAGUGGGUCCAUGGUGGUCCAUGCUAGGGAUGAUCCGUGGUCCAUGGUGGUCCAUGCUGGGAAUUCUGGAAUGUGCUGGGGCAGUGGGUCCAUGGUGGUCCAUGCUAGGGAUGAUCCGUGGUCCAUGGUGGUCCAUGCUGGGAAUUCUGGAAUGUGCUGGCGCAGUGGGUCCAUGGUGGUCCAUGCUAGAGAUGAUCCGUGGUCCAUGGUGGUCCGUGCUGGGAAUUCUGGAAUGUGCUGGGCGGGGCUGAUGGUCCUUGCUGGGCUGGUGGUCCAUGCUGGGAAUUCUGGAAUGUGCUGGGGCAGUGGUCCAUGGUGGUCCAUGCUAGAGAUGACUCAUGAUUGUGCCAAACAAUUGCAAAUAAUGCAUGCUAUAUAUACUAAAAUUAUGCAAGUAUAAAUUAAUUAAUUUCCAACCGAACAUUUUUAGCACUGUGCAAAAUUAGAUGUGCAGAAAAAAAAAAAUUACCAAAGAUGUCAUUUUUCUCUCUGAACAUUUAUAGGCAAUAAAUAAAGAUUUGAUAACUUUUCUCACGUAUCACUUAUAGUAACAUUUAGCAUUGCAUAAAAACCCUAUGAAAUAUUAUCCAUCAUAUUGUAGUGAUGGAAGUACCUACUGUGGGACCAGUGGUCCAUGGUGAUCCAGGCUGGGAAUACUGGAAUUUGCUGGGGCAGAGCUCCAUGCUGGAGGCAGUGGUCCAUGCUGGGGGCAGUGCUCCACGGUAGUCCGUGCUGGGAAUACUGGUCCAGCCCUGCACCCCCAGCCCGUUUCUCCCCUCGCAGUGGGGAUGUGCCAAACCCGGCCGAGCCUGGAUUACAGAAUGCUGGAAUAAAUAUCCUGAGCUGCGAGGGACCCGUAGGGAACUCCCGGCCCUGCAGACACCCCAAAAAUCCCACCCUGAGCAUCCCUGAGAGCGGCGGCUCCGGAUGGCGGCUCCUGCAGCCGGCCGUGCCCCGA
Molecule: long non-coding RNA, 1317 nt
Filed under: Ficedula albicollis (Collared flycatcher)
Lineage: Eukaryota; Metazoa; Chordata; Aves; Passeriformes; Muscicapidae
Description: lncRNA (ENSFALG00000027499.1)
Source: RNAcentral